AGCGUUACUCGGAAUUACUGGGCGUAAAGCGUGCGUAGGUGGUUGUUUAAGUCUGUUGUGAAAGCCCUGGGCUCAACCUGGGAACUGCAGUGGAAACUGGAUGACUAGAGUGUGGUAGAGGGUAGCGGAAUUCCCGGUGUAGCAGUGAAAUGCGUAGAGAUCGGGAGGAACAUCCAUGGCGAAGGCAGCUACCUGGACCAACACUGACACUGAGGCACGAAAGCGUGGGGAGCAAACAGGAUUAGAUACCCUGGUAGUCCACGCCCUAAACGAUGCGAACUGGAUGUUGGGUGCAAUUUGGCACGCAGUAUCGAAGCUAACGCGUUAAGUUCGCCGCCUGGGGAGUACGGUCGCAAGACUGAAACUCAAA
This 370-nucleotide ribosomal RNA is filed under the name uncultured Lysobacteraceae bacterium. RNAcentral describes it as "bacterial SSU rRNA". It matches the Rfam family "Bacterial small subunit ribosomal RNA", at positions 537 to 905 of the family's 1533-position model. Lineage: Bacteria; Pseudomonadati; Pseudomonadota; Gammaproteobacteria; Lysobacterales; Lysobacteraceae. The record is from RNAcentral.